This is a non-coding RNA of Gossypium raimondii (Peruvian cotton), 146 nucleotides long. The record is from Rfam. NCBI's taxonomy places the organism in Eukaryota, Viridiplantae, Streptophyta, Magnoliopsida, Malvales, Malvaceae.
UAUUAAAAAUCUCAUUUAUUUCUGAUAUUAAAAAUUGACGUAGUUGAUAGAAUAAAUAGAUAACUAGACGUGGUGUGUAAAGUAUACCUUCUUUUGAUAUACAAGAAUCAAUUUUUUAAUAGUGAAAAUAGAUAGAAUUUUUAACA